CUGCAAAGUGUUAAAUGCA
This 19-nucleotide non-coding RNA is filed under the name Arabidopsis thaliana (thale cress). The record is from RNAcentral. Lineage: Eukaryota; Viridiplantae; Streptophyta; Magnoliopsida; Brassicales; Brassicaceae.